This 301-nucleotide ribosomal RNA is filed under the name uncultured bacterium. RNAcentral's name for it is "partial 16S ribosomal RNA". It matches the Rfam family "Bacterial small subunit ribosomal RNA", at positions 509 to 809 of the family's 1533-position model. The record is from RNAcentral.
CAGCCGCCGCGGGAAUACGUAGGUGGCAAGCGUUGUCCGGAAUUAUUGGGCGUAAAGGGCUCGCAGGCGGUUUCUUAAGUCUGAUGUGAAAGCCCCCGGCUCAACCGGGGAGGGUCAUUGGAAACUGGGAAACUUGAGUGCAGAAGAGGAGAGUGGAGUUCCACGUGUAGCGGUGAAAUGCGUAGAGAUGUGGAGGAACACCAGUGGCGAAGGCGACUCUCUUGUCUGUAACUGACGCUGAGGAGCGAAAGCGUGGGGAGCGAACAGGAUUAGAUACCCCAGUAGUCCCUGUCUCUUAUAA